AGCACUUCCUUGUUGCAGCUCUAGAGAAAACAGUCUGUUAAGAAGUAAGCACUCAGGCCGGGUGCAGUGGCUCAGGCCUAUAAUCCCAACACUUUGGGAGACCAAAGCGAGAGAGGCCAGGAGCUCAAGACCGGCCUGCGCAACAAGGUGAGACCCCCGCCCCCCACAACUCUACAAAAAAAUAAAAUAAUUAGCCAGGUGUGGUAGUGCACACCUGUGGUCCCAGCUACUGGGGAGACUGAGAUGGGAAGAUUACUUGAGCCCGGGGCAGGGUCAAAGCUGCAGUGAGCCAUGACUGCCACUGCACUCCAGCCUAGGUGACAGAAUGAGACCUUGUCUUAAAAUGUUAAAAAAAAAAAAAAAAAGUAAGAAGUACUCAACGUUAUACCUACCAAAGAAAAGCCAUAGGUGAUGGGAAGGAGGAAGUAAAAGGAAAUCUAUAUUGGGAAAGAGAGUAGCGGGUAGGGCAUUACCAAUCAUAACAAGCUAAUAACUCCCCUGCACAUAGGGAAAGGAAACAGCAGCUCUGAGAACACGGAGAUGGAAAAUGGAAAUCAUGCUUUCUCUAUGUUUAUCUCUAAAAGUUUCAUUUGAAUACACAGGCUGGGACAGACGGAAGAGGAAGAAAGCAGGGGUGUCCGGGAGGUACUUCCAGAAUGAUUUGCUCUUAUUCUCUACCUCAAUCUUGAAGGAAUUCAAGAAGAUAUCCAUGUUUUUAAAAUCUAAGAUAACUACUGCUCUUUUCAUUCUAACAUGUGAGUGUACGUUUUAAUAUCAUGUGAAUGCAUAAUAGUGAAUAAAGCUAAUGAACUAAUUUCA
Molecule: long non-coding RNA, 819 nt
Filed under: Homo sapiens (human)
Lineage: Eukaryota; Metazoa; Chordata; Mammalia; Primates; Hominidae
Description: A2ML1 antisense RNA 1 (A2ML1-AS1)
Source: RNAcentral